Molecule: ribosomal RNA, 615 nt
Filed under: uncultured bacterium
Lineage: Bacteria
Description: bacterial SSU rRNA
Rfam family: Bacterial small subunit ribosomal RNA (bases 1-518)
Source: RNAcentral
CCUACGGGAGGCAGCAGUGGGGAAUAUUGGACAAUGGGCGAAAGCCUGAUCCAGCAAUGCCGCGUGAGUGAUGAAGGCCUUAGGGUUGUAAAGCUCUUUUACCAGGGAUGAUAAUGACAGUACCUGGAGAAUAAGCUCCGGCUAACUCCGUGCCAGCAGCCGCGGUAAUACGGAGGGAGCUAGCGUUGUUCGGAAUUACUGGGCGUAAAGCGUACGUAGGCGGUUAUUCAAGUCAGAGGUGAAAGCCCGGGGCUCAACCCCGGAACUGCCUUUGAAACUAGGUAGCUAGAGUCUUGGAGAGGUUAGUGGAAUUCCGAGUGUAGAGGUGAAAUUCGUAGAUAUUCGGAAGAACACCAGUGGCGAAGGCGACUAACUGGACAAGUACUGACGCUGAGGUACGAAAGCGUGGGGAGCAAACAGGAUUAGAUACCCUGGUAGUCCACGCCGUAAACGAUGAUAACUAGCUGUUCGGGCACUUGGUGCCUGAGUGGCGCGAGCUACGCAUUAAGUUAUCCGUCCGUCGGGUAGGUACGGUCGCGAAGAAGUUAAAACGUUAAAAGGUAAAGUUAGUACGGACGUGAGACGUGCCGAACGGACGACGACGAGGGAGGUAGG